AGAGUUUGAUCCUGGCUCAGGACGAACGCUGGCGGCGUGCCUAAAACAUGCAAGUCGAACGAGGGAGCAAUCCCUAGUGGCGAACGGCGGAGUAAUACAUGGACAACGUGCCCUAAAGUCCGGGACAAACGCAGAAAUGCCAUAAAUACCGGAUGUGGUCCAGACCUGGCAUCAGGAUUGGAUUAAACGGUUUUUCGCUUUAGGAGCGGUUCAUGGCCUAUCAGGUAGUUGGUGGGGUAAUGGCCUACCAAGCCGACGACAGGUAGCGGGUCUGAGAGGAUGAUCCGCUCGAGUGGGACUGAGACACGGCCCACACACCUACGGGUGGCAGCAGUUGGGAAUCUUGCACAAUGGGGGAAACCCUGAUGCAGCGACGCCGCGUGGAGGAUGACGGAUCUAGGUCUGUAAACUCCUUUUUCAUGGAAAGACUUAGGACGGUACCAUGAGA
RNAcentral lists this ribosomal RNA (448 nucleotides) under uncultured bacterium. RNAcentral describes it as "bacterial SSU rRNA". It matches the Rfam family "Bacterial small subunit ribosomal RNA", at positions 8 to 485 of the family's 1533-position model. The record is from RNAcentral.